This is a small nuclear RNA of Lotus japonicus, 101 nucleotides long. The record is from RefSeq and is a predicted model, not a curated record. NCBI's taxonomy places the organism in Eukaryota, Viridiplantae, Streptophyta, Magnoliopsida, Fabales, Fabaceae.
GCUAUGUUGAUUAAGAUUUUAAACUUUAUAUAUCGCUACAGGAUUAGCAUGGCCCCUGCGCAAGGAUGGCACUCACAAAUCGAGAAAUGGUCCAAAUUUUU